CAGCAGCCGCGGUAAUACGUAGGGUGCGAGCGUUAAUCGGAAUUACUGGGCGUAAAGAGCUCGUAGGUGGUUUGUCGCGUUGUUCGUGAAAACUCACAGCUCAACUGUGGGCGUGCGGGCGAUACGGGCAGACUAGAGUACUGCAGGGGAGACUGGAAUUCCUGGUGUAGCGGUGGAAUGCGCAGAUAUCAGGAGGAACACCGGUGGCGAAGGCGGGUCUCUGGGCAGUAACUGACGCUGAGGAGCGAAAGCGUGGGGAGCGAACAGGAUUAGAUACCCCAGUAGUCCCUGUCUCUUAUAC
RNAcentral lists this ribosomal RNA (301 nucleotides) under uncultured bacterium. Its description in RNAcentral is "partial 16S ribosomal RNA". It matches the Rfam family "Bacterial small subunit ribosomal RNA", at positions 509 to 807 of the family's 1533-position model. The record is from RNAcentral.